Molecule: ribosomal RNA, 503 nt
Filed under: uncultured bacterium
Lineage: Bacteria
Description: partial 16S ribosomal RNA
Rfam family: Bacterial small subunit ribosomal RNA
Source: RNAcentral
AACGAACGCUGGCGGCACGUUUUAAGCAUGCAAGUCGAAUGGCAGCAGGGGCAACUCUGUGAGAAUGGCGAACGGGUGAGUAACACGUAGGUGAUCUGCCUUGAGGAUGGGGAUAGCCUGUGGAAACACAGGGUAAUACCGAAUGAGCUGACGAGACUUUGGUGUGGUUAGUAAAGGUGCUACGGCACCGCCUUGAGAGGAGCCUGCGGCUGAUUAGCUAGUUGGUGGGGUAAGAGCUUACCAAGGCGACGAUCAGUAGCCGGCCUGAGAGGGUGUACGGCCACACUGGAACUGAGACACGGUCCAGACUCCUACGGGAGGCAGCAGCUAAGAAUCUUCCGCAAUGGGCGAAAGCCUGACGGAGCGAUGCCGCGUGAUCGAUGAAGGUCGAGAGAUUGUAAAGAUCUUUUCUACAUGAGGAAUAAGUCUGGGAGGGAAUGCCCGGAUGAUGACGUUAGUGUAGGAAUAAGCCCCGGCUAAUUACGUGCCAGCAGCCGCAGUAA